RNAcentral lists this ribosomal RNA (571 nucleotides) under uncultured bacterium. Its description in RNAcentral is "partial 16S ribosomal RNA". It matches the Rfam family "Bacterial small subunit ribosomal RNA", at positions 355 to 918 of the family's 1533-position model. The record is from RNAcentral.
UGGGGAAUUUUGGACAAUGGGACAACCCUGAUCCAGCCAUCCCGCGUGUGCGAUGAAGGCCUUCGGGUUGUAAAGCACUUUUGGCAGGGAGGAAACAGCCUGGGGAUAGUACCCCGGGCGACUGACGGUACCUGCAGAAUAAGCACCGGCUAACUACGUGCCAGCAGCCGCGGUAAUACGUAGGGUGCAAACGUUAAUCGGAAUUACUGGGCGUAAAGCGUGCGCAGGCGGUUCGGAAAGAAAGGUGUGAAAUCCCAGGGCUUAACCUUGGAACUGCACUUUUAACUACCGAGCUAGAGUACGUCAGAGGGGGGUAGAAUUCCACGUGUAGCAGUGAAAUGCGUAGAGAUGUGGAGGAAUACCGAUGGCGAAGGCAGCCCCCUGGGCCAAUACUGACGCUCAUGCACGAAAGCGUGGGGAGCAAACAGGAUUAGAUACCCUGGUAGUCCACGCCCUAAAACGAUGUCAACUAGUUGUUGGGGAUUCAUUCCCUUAGUAACGUAGCUAACGCGUGAAGUUGACCGCCUGGGGAGUACGGUCGCAAGAUUAAAACUCAAAUGAAUUGACGGGG